Molecule: long non-coding RNA, 1053 nt
Filed under: Equus caballus (horse)
Lineage: Eukaryota; Metazoa; Chordata; Mammalia; Perissodactyla; Equidae
Description: lncRNA (ENSECAG00000059424.1)
Source: RNAcentral
GUCAGUUGGGCACCUUCUUCCUCUCUCCCUUCCCGCUUAUUCUGAGUGGCGGGGAUUAGCGGUGUUUGCCCCUGGAUAAAAUCUGAGAAGCCCUCCCUGGAGGGUGAAUAAUCGGCCACAGGAGGACUAGAGCUCCUCAGAGAAUCACCCCACCUUGGAGAAGCUGAGCAGAGCUGGUGGUGACUCCUCUGGAAUUCCACGGCAGAUACGGAGGGAAGGAAAAAGGACCAUGUGUCUAAAAACCCUAAUGGGAUCCACCCCAAAUUUUGGCAACAAGAUGGGGGAGGUCACCAGCCUUCCUGACUUCUUCCUGCCUAGAAUGAAACGUGGCCGUUGGAAUGCCCUGCCAACUUCACAUAGCACACAAGGAUCAGAUGUAUUUUACCGUUGAGAAGAAGGAAAAGGAGACUGAGUCAUGUACUGGAUCAACCGUGUCCUCUCAAAACGCUGGUGGGGAAGCACACAUGGUUACCCAGAAACUACAAAUUGUGUACUUGAAAUCAACAAAAAAAGAAGAAGAGGAGAGGACACACAGAGACACAGAAGGAGGAUGCUAUGUGAAGUAGGAGGCAAAGACUGGAGCGAUGCGGCUGCAAGCCAAGAAUGCCAAGGAUGCCGGUAACCACCAGAGGCUAGGAGAGAGGCGUGGAUCAGACUCUCCCUUGGUGCUUCCAGAGAGAAUCAACCCUGCCAACACCUUGAUUUCAGACUUUUGACCUCCAAAGCUGUAAGAGAAUAAAUGCCUGUUGUUCUAAGCCACCCAGUUUGUGGCAAUUUAUUACGCCAGUCCUAAGAAAACUAUAUGCUUUUAUUUUUCUGAUUGCCUUAAGAAUUGUUUUUCUUUGUCUUUGGUGUCCUGAAGCUUCACCAUGAUGUAUCGAACUGUGGGCUUCUUUUGAUUUAUUCUGCUUGGAAUUCAUUAGUUUUCUUAGAACUCUCAGGCUUUCCAUUUUUUAUUUGCUUUUGGCCUGGAAGUUCCUUAUUCAUUUAGUGUCUUUUCAGUGUUUUAAAGAGAUUUUUAAAAAUGAUUGUUCUGGAAGUUUUGAUUGUUUU